RNAcentral lists this ribosomal RNA (460 nucleotides) under uncultured bacterium. RNAcentral describes it as "partial 16S ribosomal RNA". It matches the Rfam family "Bacterial small subunit ribosomal RNA", at positions 338 to 795 of the family's 1533-position model. The record is from RNAcentral.
CCUACGGGUGGCAGCAGUGAGGAAUAUUGGUCAAUGGCCGUAAGCCUGAACCAGCCAAGUCGCGUGAAGGAUGAAGGCUCUAUGGUUUUUAAACCUCUUUUAUAGGGGAAUAAAGGUCUCCACGUGUGGAUAUUUGCAUGUACCCCAUGAAUAAGCCUCGGCUAACUCUGUGCCAGCAGCCGCGGUAAUACGGAGUAUGCGGGCGUUAUCCGGGUUUAUUGGGGUUAAAGGGUGCGUAGGUCGGUGUUUAAGGCAGCGGUGAAAGUUUGGGGCUCAACCAUACGAUUGCCGUUGAAACUGGGUGACUUGAGUGUGUGUGAGGUAGGCGGAAUGCGUGGUGUAGCGGUGAAAUGCAUAGAUAUCACGCAGAACACCGAUUGCGAAGGCAGCUUACUAGGCCAUAACUGACGCUGAGGCACGAAAGCGUGGGGAUCGAACAGGAUUAGAUACCCGUGUAGUC